This 658-nucleotide ribosomal RNA is filed under the name uncultured Streptococcus sp. RNAcentral describes it as "bacterial SSU rRNA". It matches the Rfam family "Bacterial small subunit ribosomal RNA", at positions 28 to 669 of the family's 1533-position model. The record is from RNAcentral. Lineage: Bacteria; Bacillati; Bacillota; Bacilli; Lactobacillales; Streptococcaceae.
GACGAACGCUGGCGGCGUGCCUAAUACAUGCAAGUAGAACGCUGAAGAGAGGAGCUUGCUCUUCUUGGAUGAGUUGCGAACGGGUGAGUAACGCGUAGGUAACCUGCCUUGUAGCGGGGGAUAACUAUUGGAAACGAUAGUUAAUACCGCAUAACAAUGGAUGACACAUGUCAUUUAUUUGAAAGGGGCAAUUGCUCCACUACAAGAUGGACCUGCGUUGUAUUAGCUAGUAGGUGAGGUAAUGGCUCACCUAGGCGACGAUACAUAGCCGACCUGAGAGGGUGAUCGGCCACACUGGGACUGAGACACGGCCCAGACUCCUACGGGAGGCAGCAGUAGGGAAUCUUCGGCAAUGGGGGCAACCCUGACCGAGCAACGCCGCGUGAGUGAAGAAGGUUUUCGGAUCGUAAAGCUCUGUUGUAAGUCAAGAACGGGUGUGAGAGUGGAAAGUUCACACUGUGACGGUAGCUUACCGGAAAGGGACGGCUAACUACGUGCCAGCAGCCGCGGUAAUACGUAGGUCCCGAGCGUUGUCCGGAUUUAUUGGGCGUAAAGCGAGCGCAGGCGGUUUGAUAAGUCUGAAGUUAAAGGCUGUGGCUCAACCAUAGUUCGCUUUGGAAACUGUCAAACUUGAGUGCAGAAGGGGAGAGUGGAAUUC